GGCAGUUCUCGGGUGAUGCACCCCAGAAUCGGGCUCCCUCCUCUCUGGUUCCAGGUGUGUCACCUGAGAACCAGA
Molecule: non-coding RNA, 75 nt
Organism: Myotis brandtii (Brandt's bat)
Lineage: Eukaryota; Metazoa; Chordata; Mammalia; Chiroptera; Vespertilionidae
Source: Rfam